GCGAUUAUAGGUUAUACUAAACCGUUGGCCUUCAAAGCCAGAGAAGGGCUAAGUCCCGAAUCGAG
This 65-nucleotide transfer RNA is filed under the name Pyramidella dolabrata (giant Atlantic pyram). Its description in RNAcentral is "tRNA-Trp". The record is from RNAcentral. Lineage: Eukaryota; Metazoa; Mollusca; Gastropoda; Pyramidellidae.